GACGAACGCUGGCGGCGUGCCUAAUACAUGCAAGUCGAACGAGAGCGACCGGUGCUUGCACUGGUCAAUCUAGUGGCGAAAGGGUGAGUAACACGUGGGUAACCUGCUCAUCAGAGGGGGAUAACAUCCGGAAACGGAUGCUAAAACCGCAUAGGUCUUCGAGCCGCAUGGCUUGAAGAGGAAAAAAGGCGCAAGCUUCUGCUGGUGGAUGGACCCGCGGUGCAUUAGCUAGUUGGUGAGGUAACGGCUCACCAAGGCCGUGAUGCAUAGCCGACCUGAGAGGGUGAUCGGCCACAUUGGGACUGAGACACGGCCCAAACUCCUACGGGAGGCAGCAGUAGGGAAUCUUCCGCAAUGGACGCAAGUCUGACGGAGCAACGCCGCGUGAGUGAAGAAGGUUUUCGGAUCGUAAAACUCUGUUGUUAGAGAAGAACAAGUGCUAGAGUAACUGUUAGCGCCUUGACGGUAUCUAACCAGAAAGCCACGGCUAACUACGUG
Molecule: ribosomal RNA, 498 nt
Filed under: uncultured bacterium
Lineage: Bacteria
Description: partial 16S ribosomal RNA
Rfam family: Bacterial small subunit ribosomal RNA
Source: RNAcentral